UACGGAGGGUGCAAGCGUUGCUCGGAAUUAUUGGGCGUAAAGGGUAGGUAGGUGGUCUCAUUUGUCUGGGGUGAAAGCCUUGGGCUUAACUCAAGAAGUGCCUCAGAAACGGUGAGACUGGAGUCCUGGAGAGGGUCGUGGAAUUCCCGGUGUAGCGGUGAAAUGCGUAGAGAUCGGGAGGAACACCAGAGGCGAAAGCGGCGACCUGGACAGGAACUGACACUCAACUACGAAAGCGUGGGGAGCAAACAGG
This 253-nucleotide ribosomal RNA is filed under the name uncultured bacterium. RNAcentral's name for it is "partial 16S ribosomal RNA". It matches the Rfam family "Bacterial small subunit ribosomal RNA", at positions 524 to 776 of the family's 1533-position model. The record is from RNAcentral.